RNAcentral lists this ribosomal RNA (468 nucleotides) under uncultured bacterium. Its description in RNAcentral is "partial 16S ribosomal RNA". It matches the Rfam family "Bacterial small subunit ribosomal RNA", at positions 28 to 507 of the family's 1533-position model. The record is from RNAcentral.
GACGAACGCUGGCGGCGUGCUUAACACAUGCAAGUCGAACGGAAAGGCCCUGCUUUUGUGGGGUGCUCGAGUGGCGAACGGGUGAGUAACACGUGAGUAACCUGCCCUUGACUUUGGGAUAACUUCAGGAAACUGGGGCUAAUACCGGAUAGGAGCUCCUGCUGCAUGGUGGGGGUUGGAAAGUUUCGGCGGUUGGGGAUGGACUCGCGGCUUAUCAGCUUGUUGGUGGGGUAGUGGCUUACCAAGGCUGUGACGGGUAGCCGGCAUGAGAGGGUGACCGGCCACAUUGGGCCUGAGAGACGGCCCAGACUCGUACGGGAGGCAGCAGGGGGGAAUGUUGCACGAUGGGCGGCAGCCUGAUGCAGGAACGCCGCGGGAGGGAUGACGGCCUUCGGGUGGUAAAACGAUUUCGCUUGUGACGAAGCGUGAGUGACGGUAAUGGGUAAAGAAGCACCGGCUAACAACGUG